UGCAAGUCGAGCGAUGAAGCUUCUUCGGAAGUGGAUUAGCGGCGGACGGGUGAGUAACACGUGGGUAACCUGCCUCAUAGAGGGGAAUAGCCUUCCGAAAGGAAGAUUAAUACCGCAUAAGAUUGUAAUAUCGCAUGAUAUAGCAAUUAAAGGAGUAAUCCGCUAUGAGAUGGACCCGCGUCGCAUUAGCUAGUUGGUGAGGUAACGGCUCACCAAGGCGACGAUGCGUAGCCGACCUGAGAGGGUGAUCGGCCACAUUGGGACUGAGACACGGCCCAGACUCCUACGGGAGGCAGCAGUGGGGAAUAUUGCACAAUGGGGGAAACCCUGAUGCAAGCAACGCCGCGUGAGUGAUGACGGUCUUCGGAUUGUAAAGCUCUGUCUUCAGGGACGAUAAUGACGGUACCUGAGGAGGAAGCCACGGCUAACUACGUGCCAGCCGCGGC
Molecule: ribosomal RNA, 446 nt
Filed under: uncultured bacterium
Lineage: Bacteria
Description: bacterial SSU rRNA
Rfam family: Bacterial small subunit ribosomal RNA
Source: RNAcentral